This 453-nucleotide ribosomal RNA is filed under the name uncultured bacterium. RNAcentral's name for it is "bacterial SSU rRNA". It matches the Rfam family "Bacterial small subunit ribosomal RNA", at positions 340 to 786 of the family's 1533-position model. The record is from RNAcentral.
UACGGAAGGCAGCAGUGGGGAAUAUUGCACAAUGGGCGCAAGCCUGAUGCAGCCAUGCCGCGUGUAUGAAGAAGGCCUUCGGGUUGUAAAGUACUUUCAGUCGUGAGGAAGGUGUUAAGGUUAAUAACCUUAGCAAUUGACGUUAGCGACAGAAGAAGCACCGGCUAACUCCGUGCCAGCAGCCGCGGUAAUACGGAGGGUGCGAGCGUUAAUCGGAAUUACUGGGCGUAAAGGGCACGCAGGCGGUUAAUUAAGUUGGAUGUGAAUCCCCGGGCUUAACCUGGGAAUGGCAUUCAAGACUGGUUAGCUAGAGUCUUGUAGAGGGGGUAGAAUUCCAUGUGUAGCGGUGAAAUGCGUAGAGAUGUGGAGGAAUACCGGGUGGCGAAGGCGGCCCCUGGGACAAGACUGACGCUCAUGUGCGAAAGCGUGGGGAGCAAACAGGGAUUAGAUACC